RNAcentral lists this ribosomal RNA (396 nucleotides) under uncultured bacterium. Its description in RNAcentral is "bacterial SSU rRNA". It matches the Rfam family "Bacterial small subunit ribosomal RNA", at positions 361 to 773 of the family's 1533-position model. The record is from RNAcentral.
AUCUUGCGCAAUGGGCGAAAGCCUGACGCAGCAACGCCGCGUGCGGGAUGAAGGCUCUCGGGUUGUAAACCGCUUUCAGCAGGAACGAAACUGACGGUACCUGCAGAAGAAGCCCCGGCCAAAUACGUGCCAGCAGCCGCGGUAAUACGUAUGGGGCAAGCGUUGUCCGGAUUUAUUGGGCGUAAAGAGCUCGUAGGCGGCUCGGUAAGUCGGGUGUGAAACCUCCAGGCUCAACCUGGAGACGCCACCCGAUACUGCCGUGGCUUGGGUCCGGUAGGGGAUCACGGAAUACAUGGUGUAGCGGUGAAAUGCGCAGAUAUCAUGUGGAACACCAGUGGCGAAGGCGGUGAUCUGGGCCGGUACUGACGCUGAGGAGCGAAAGCGUGGGGAGCAAAC